GCGAUCAUACCAAGACUAAUGCACCGGAUCCCAUCGAACUCCGAAGUUAAGCGUGCUUGGACGAGAGCAAGACUAGGAUGGGUGACCCCACAGGAAGUCCUCGUGUUGCACCU
This 113-nucleotide ribosomal RNA is filed under the name Zingiber officinale. Lineage: Eukaryota; Viridiplantae; Streptophyta; Magnoliopsida; Zingiberales; Zingiberaceae. The record is from RNAcentral.